ACGGGGCCCGCACAAGCGGUGGAGCAUGUGGUUUAAUUCGAUGAUACGCGAGGAACCUUACCUGGGCUCAAAUGUAUGUUGACGUAUUCUGAAAGGGAUACUUCUUCGGACAAUAUACAAGGUGCUGCAUGGUUGUCGUCAGCUCGUGCCGUGAGGUGUCGGGUUAAGUCCCAUAACGAGCGCAACCCUACCUUUAGUUGCCAUCAGGUAAUGCUGGGGACUCUAAAGGAACUGCCUACGCAAGUAGUGAGGAAGGCGGGGAUGACGUCAAAUCAGCACGGCCCUUACGUCCAGGGCUACACACGUGCUACAAUGGCCGAUACAGAGGGCAGCUACCUGGUGACAGGAUGCAAAUCUCCAAAGUCGGUCUCAGUUCGGAUCGGAGUCUGCAACCCGACUCCGUGAAGUUGGAUUCGCUAGUAAUCGCGCAUCAGCCAUGGCGCGGUGAAUACGUUCCCGGGCCUU
RNAcentral lists this ribosomal RNA (465 nucleotides) under uncultured Sphingobacteriales bacterium. RNAcentral's name for it is "bacterial SSU rRNA". It matches the Rfam family "Bacterial small subunit ribosomal RNA", at positions 916 to 1381 of the family's 1533-position model. The record is from RNAcentral. Lineage: Bacteria; Pseudomonadati; Bacteroidota; Sphingobacteriia; Sphingobacteriales.